CCCGCGCUGCCCGCGCUCCGCUGUCUCGCGCUCCUGGUCGCUCCGGCUCCUCCCGGCAGCCCGGAGCCGCGGCCACGCGAGGUUGUAAAAAUCCAUGUGGGACCGCGCCGGGGCGAGCAUCGCUAAGAUCUCUGAGUGGAGCCAUUUCCCGGCACAAGCUAUACAGAAUGUGGUGAGAAUUCUGGCCCGUGGAGGAAUUGGUUUAAACUCUAAGGUUGCCUAGCAUCUCUUCUCUUGAAUAGCACCACAUCACAGAAGAAAAAUGUAUGGAAGUGCAAGAACCAUCACUAAUCUGGAAGGUAGCCCUUCCAGAUCACCUCGUUUGCCAAGGUCUCCUCGGUUGGGCCACCGAAGAACAAGCAGCGGGGGAGGCGGAGGGACAGGCAAGACUCUGUCUAUGGAGAAUAUCCAGUCCCUUAAUGCAGCCUAUGCCACAUCUGGACCCAUGUACUUGAGUGACCAUGAAGGGGUGGCGUCCACAACUUACCCAAAGGGUACGAUGACUCUGGGCAGGGCCACGAAUCGAGCUGUGUACGGAGGCCGGGUCACAGCCAUGGGGAGUAGUCCCAAUAUUGCGUCCGCUGGACUUUCCCAUACGGACGUUCUUUCCUAUACGGAUCAACACGGGGGGCUGAGCGGCUCAUCCCAUCACCACCACCACCAGGUGCCCUCCAUGUUGAGGCAGGUAAGAGACAGCACCAUGUUGGAUCUUCAAGCCCAGCUCAAAGAGCUGCAGAGAGAGAAUGACCUCCUCCGGAAGGAGCUUGACAUUAAGGACAGCAAACUGGGAUCGUCCAUGAACAGCAUCAAGACUUUCUGGAGUCCCGAGCUCAAGAAGGAGAGAGUGCUGAGGAAAGAGGAGGCAGCUCGGAUGUCUGUCCUCAAGGAGCAGAUGAGGGUUUCUCACGAAGAAAACCAGUUAUUGGAUGCCAGAAGAACCAAGCAUCUGCAGUUGACCAUCCAGGCCCUUCAGGAUGAGCUGCGGACCCAGAGAGACCUCAACCACCUCCUGCAGCAAGAGAGCGGCAACCGAGGGGCGGAGCACUUCACCAUCGAGCUGACGGAGGAGAACUUCCGCAGGCUCCAAGCUGAGCACGACAGACAGGCCAAGGAGCUGUUCCUUCUGCGGAAGACAUUGGAGGAAAUGGAAUUGAGAAUUGAAACACAGAAGCAGACUCUCAAUGCCCGAGAUGAGUCCAUUAAAAAGCUGCUGGAGAUGCUGCAGAGUAAAGGGUUACCAUCCAAAAGCCUCGAGGAUGACAGUGAGCGCACGCGGCGGAUGGCAGAGGCCGAGUCUCAGGUCAGCCACUUGGAGGUGAUUUUAGACCAGAAGGAGAAGGAAAACAUCCAUCUGAGAGAGGAAUUGCACCGAAGGAGCCAACUUCAGCCGGAGCCAGCCAAGACCAAGGCUCUCCAGACCGUCAUUGAGAUGAAGGACACAAAAAUUGCUUCACUGGAGCGAAACAUCCGGGACCUGGAGGAUGAGAUCCAGAUGUUGAAAGCCAAUGGUGUGCUUAACACGGAGGAUCGUGAGGAGGAGAUCAAGCAAAUCGAGGUGUACAAAAGCCACUCCAAGUUUAUGAAGACCAAGAUUGACCAGCUGAAGCAGGAACUUUCCAAGAAGGAGUCAGAACUUCUUGCCUUACAAACAAAGCUUGAAACCCUUAGCAAUCAAAAUUCAGAUUGCAAGCAACACAUCGAAGUGCUUAAAGAGUCACUUACUGCCAAAGAACAGAGGGCUGCCAUCCUUCAGACAGAGGUAGAUGCGCUGAGAUUACGCCUGGAAGAGAAAGAAUCUUUUCUCAAUAAGAAAACGAAACAGUUGCAAGACCUCACAGAAGAGAAGGGGACCCUAGCUGGAGAGAUCCGUGACAUGAAAGAUAUGUUAGAAGUAAAGGAAAGAAAAAUCAAUGUUCUUCAGAAAAAAAUUGAAAACUUGCAAGAGCAACUUAGGGAUAAGGACAAACAACUGACCAACCUGAAAGACAGAGUCAAGUCCUUGCAGACAGAUUCCAGCAACACAGACACUGCUCUGGCCACCCUGGAGGAAGCCUUGUCAGAAAAGGAGAGAAUAAUAGAGCGUUUGAAAGAGCAAAGGGAGAGAGAUGACCGGGAGAGACUAGAAGAGAUAGAAUCCUUUCGAAAGGAGAACAAAGACCUCAAAGAAAAGGUCAAUGCUUUACAGGCUGAACUCACGGAGAAAGAGUCCAGUUUAAUCGACCUCAAAGAACAUGCGUCUUCAUUAGCUUCUGCGGGACUGAAGAGGGACUCCAAAUUAAAAUCGCUAGAAAUAGCUAUCGAACAAAAGAAGGAGGAGUGUAGCAAAUUGGAAGCACAGCUUAAAAAGCAAGCUGAGCAGUUGUUCAAUCAGAUGUACAACCCAGCACAUAAUAUUGAAGAUGACUCCAGGAUGAACCCUGAGUUUGCAGACCGACUGAAGCAGCUGGACAAGGAAGCCUCUUACUAUCGCGAUGAGUGCGGCAAGGCGCAAGCAGAGGUGGACAGGUUGCUGGAGAUCCUCAAGGAGGUGGAGAACGAAAAGAAUGACAAAGAUAAGAAGAUCGCGGAGCUUGAGAGCUUGACGCUCAGGCAUAUGAAAGAUCAGAAUAAGAAGGUGGCUAGCCUCAAGCACAACCAACAGCUGGAGAAGAAGAAGAAUGCCCAGUUAUUAGAAGAAGUCCGCCGGCGCGAAGAUAGCAUGGUCGACAACUCACAGCAUUUGCAGAUAGAGGAGCUGAUGAACGCACUGGAGAAGACAAGACAGGAGCUGGAUGCCACCAAAGCGCGCCUUGCCUCGACCCAGCAGUCUCUGGCCGAAAAGGAAGCACACCUGGCCAACCUCCGCCUAGAGAGGAGGAAACAGCUGGAGGAGAUCCUGGAGAUGAAACAGGAAGCACUUCUUGCCGCCAUUAGUGAAAAAGAUGCAAACAUUGCCUUGCUGGAAUUGUCUGCCUCCAAAAAGAAAAAGACCCAGGAAGAAGUCAUGGCUCUGAAGCGAGAGAAAGACCGGCUGGUGCAUCAGUUAAAGCAGCAGGUCUAUAGGCCUAGGAAACAGCCCCCGUGCUCAAAUAUACCGUGCAAUUGUGAUGCUGGCUACAGCCCAGAUUUUACGGCCAAGUACCCCGGCUCCAGCUACGAUGCACACAUGAGCCAAAGGUCUCAGACCCAGAACAGAAUGAAGCUGAUGGCAGACAACUAUGACGACCAUCACCAUUACCACCACCACCAUCACCACCACCACCGAUCUCCUGGGAGGUCACAGCAUUCCAACCACAGGCCCUCUCCGGACCAGGAUGACGAGGAGGGCAUAUGGGCAUAGCCGGGCCUGUAAACCAAAGUUCCAGUUUUGUUUUGAGGGAUGAUCCAGCUCUGUCGGAGGCACGUGUAGGCACAGCCAAAUCUCAUGCUGUACAUUGAUCACCUGUCCAACCUUUGCCUAGAGUGGGAGUCCCCAGUUCCUUCAAGAGAUCCAACUUUACCUGUCUGUAAAGAAGAAGAGGAGGAGGGAGACAGCGGGGAGGAUCCAGUGGCAUUGUAACACCAGAGCAGGUCCAGUGUUUACUCUUGCCCUUUCGGAGCUGUCAGAAAGGUUGGCUAAAGGGAAAGCUCUGCACUGCAGUCAUUCCCACGUAAUCUCCUGCCGCGUGGCUGUCUCCAUUGCCCACCACCAGCCUCAGGGGCAGGCCCGAACGGAAGGGGGUUCCUCACCUUCGCUUUCCUGCGUGAUUCUGGUCACCUCAUCCCUCCUGCGUUUGGGUGUAUGGGAAAGAAAGUGUAUGAAGGAGGAGAAAGAUGACAGUCCUUUCAUUUUCUGUCAGGAUUUGGACCUUUACAGUGUGACCGUCUCUGCUGAAAGCCACGUGGUGAGCGUUUUAUUUCUGCUGCUUUGCCUCCUGGAUACACGGCCACUGCACGGGAUUCAAACUGUGGAUUCAGUGUCUGUUGGACAGCUCUCCCUAUCUCCCAUUAUCUUGCUGAUCGGUCCAACUGGUCCUAACACAUCAGAUUACCGUGCAGUCUAAACUUGCUGCGGAUGAGUGCUGCUGGUGGUGUUUAUGCACCACGGUGCGUGGAGUGUUUGACGAGGAAACCAAAAGACUAAAAAUUGAGAGCCCUCCUCUAUUUCUUUAAUCUGUCAGUCAAGGAACCACAUUUCGAUGGUGUUAUCAGUUGUUACCUCUGGGCCAGGUUGGAAAUGAAAUCAAUUUUUUAAACCACUAAUAACUUGCCAAGAAAUCGCCUUAUGAGAACAUGGUGUGUGUCUCUGACAGUGCGUGGCACAUCUAAAUUGGUCAUUCAUAAUUUUACUGUCCUGUUCAUGUGCAAGAGAGUGGCAAAAGCCUGAGGCGUUUGCGUGUAGCUACUCCACCUGCUCCUUGAACCCCACGCACGGCUGGGACAUGACCCGGCCUCAGGCCCUUCUCGUUCUCACACAUGCAGGUCUCCAUGAACGAGCUGAGAGAUUCAUUCAUGUUUCAAGAUCCAAAUGCUGUGCAAGCAGUGAGUGUGAGCUUGGGUCUUCUCUAAAUGAAGGGUCAUUUCUCACUGUUUUUUUUUUUCUUAAGAAAAUGUCUCUAAUGUGGAUUCCAAAGCAUUUUCAACAUCAAACGUGCAAGCAUUGAUGAAUGAAGAACAAUCACAAAAGUUGUGUGUCUGUAAAUAGCAUUGCACAGGCUGUCUGUGGGUACGGUAGAGUCAUUAUCUAAAGCACAUGCCAGAGAAAGAGACCGCAUUCCGAGGUCUUCUACAUACAAUGACAAGGUACUUAGGAGAUUUCUACUCCUGCUGCUUCCUCUGAAGAUAAAAAAUGAUUAGUCAUUACAACUUCAUACAAAACCCAUAACUGAGCCUGGCAAAUGUGCAGCUCUUGUAUUGACCCAUUCUUGUCGAGGGGAGGAACCCUCCUUCCUGCAUUCCUAAAGGACAAACAGUGAAUUUUAGCAUGAGUGGCCUUAAUAAAUACAAUUGUCUUUCUUUGCUGCUGUGGAAAGGGUUCUAAGCAGAAGCUGCUGAAAUCUUGCAUUGAAUCAAAUCAUUAUUACUUUCCAAAAUGUUGGUGCAAUUAACUCUGGACCUCUCUCAUGAGCCAUAGAGAUAGAAGACAAACCCCUUGUUUGCUGGGGAAAGGAAACUGUUCCUGAACUGCACCCUUUAUUCCUGGUGCAUCAGGACUAAUAUAUUCAAACAGGUUUCCUGCUGUGGGCUUCGUUCUUGUCGGUAAAUUGUGAACUAUGUAAAGCUUACAUGUUAACAUAAAUGCUCCAAAUACAUUCGUGUUUUAAAAGUUUGACCUUUAACUAUCAAAAGGAUGUAGGUCGUUGUUAGAGAAGGGAGCAGAGUUCUUUGCAAGUUAAUUUAGUAUUUUUUGGUGAAGUGUGGCAAUGAAAACCCAAGCCACAGACUGGUCCCCAGGUAUGGUUUGGGUAUCCUCAGAGAAGUCCUCACAGCCUACCACCAGGUCAUGACUUGAACUCUGCAACUUGAAAUACUUGAAAUAGGAAGUAGGAGAACCAGGAUGGUAAACGGGGUCCUUGAAGUAGCACACAAAGCGAUCAACCAUGUGUAUUUACCUAUUUCUACAUUUGUGCCAAUUUUGUCACAGCUAUUGUUUGGGGGAUCUUUUUUUUUUGGCCCCACUUUUGUUGGUUGAAAGUAUUUUUGAUCUUACAUUCAUGUGAAUGUAUCAUUUGGUCCCUGGAAAAGUGAAUUCCAUCUAACACAACAUUUUUUCCCAUUUUCUGUAAUAUUCUCUGACGUUUGGGGAUUACAAAAGAAACCCCUUUUCACACAUUGAAAAUAGUGUCUGGGUUUACAACAAACACUGUGACGUUUGGAAGGUAUUUUCUUUCUGCAACCUUGAGCAGGCUCCCUUCUAAUCCGGUAUGACUGAAACUAAACAAAAACAAGGUUGUGCUAACCCUUAGGAGGAAUUGGUUGAAGUCUUACCUUGCGCAAGAGCAGGCUUGUAUUUAUAACCCCUUUUGAUUUCUAUAUACAGUCUCGAUUUUGUAUUUAAUGAUUUUGUGUAUUCAGUAUGCACCUUCACAGUGUGUCAACUUUCCUUUGAAAGUGGGUUUUACUUUUUAAACAGUGUUUAUGAUGAGACCUCAAAUGUGUUGAUAUAAGCUCUCUCUGCCGUGUUUUUGUGUAGAGUUGCAUUUGGAUGCUGCCAGGGGUCCAUGUAUCUAGUUCCCUGAGACCCUUGUUUGAUAGUGCUUCUUGUAAUAUUUCUUCAAGUGAGUGGCAUGUGGGUUGUGAUAUUGACCAUGUGAUUAUGGACAUCGAUAUGAAAAAUAAAUAAUAAAUAAAUAAAAUUAAGGAACCCUCAAAACUACCAAUGGGCAUGUAUUAGCCAGUCAUUGUAACCUCAUGUCUAGUAAAAAUACCAUGUGCAAGGUAUGUACAGCUCAUAACUUUGUUAUCAUGUGUAUGAGGAGUACUUUGUGCUGAUUGUCUUAUUUAUAUUCAUCAAAUAAACCUUGUUUCUU
Microtus ochrogaster (prairie vole) is the source of this 6488-nucleotide RNA transcript. It is a transcript of the gene named ELKS/RAB6-interacting/CAST family member 2, with no coding region annotated. The transcript is spliced from 22 exons. The record is from RefSeq and is a predicted model, not a curated record. Lineage: Eukaryota; Metazoa; Chordata; Mammalia; Rodentia; Cricetidae.